AUUGAACGCUGGCGGCAGGCUUAACACAUGCAAGUCGAGCGAGCGGCGGACGGGUGAGUAAUGUCUGGGGAACUGCCUGAUAGAGGGGGAUAACUACUGGAAACGGUAGCUAAUACCGCAUACCAUCAGAUGUGCCCAGAUGGGAUUAUCUAGUAGGUGGGGUAAUGGCUCACCUAGGCGAUGAUCCCUAGCUGGUCUGAGAGGAUGACCAGCCACGCUGGAACUGAGACACGGUCCAGAAGCAUACGGGAGGCAGCAGUGGGGAAUAUUGCAGAAUGGGCGCAAGCCUGAUGCAGCCAUGCCGCGUGUGUGAAGAAGGCCUUAGGGUUGUAAAGCACUUUCAGCGAGGAGGCGUUACUCGCAGAAGAAGCACCGGCUAACUCCGUGCCAGCAGCCGCGGUAAUUC
RNAcentral lists this ribosomal RNA (406 nucleotides) under uncultured bacterium. RNAcentral's name for it is "partial 16S ribosomal RNA". It matches the Rfam family "Bacterial small subunit ribosomal RNA", at positions 30 to 526 of the family's 1533-position model. The record is from RNAcentral.